UGCCAAUGUUCAAAUGAGGGAUGUGAUCUUU
This 31-nucleotide non-coding RNA is filed under the name Rattus norvegicus (Norway rat). Lineage: Eukaryota; Metazoa; Chordata; Mammalia; Rodentia; Muridae. The record is from RNAcentral.